This 3036-nucleotide long non-coding RNA is filed under the name Musa acuminata (dwarf banana). RNAcentral's name for it is "long non-coding RNA (MACU_LNC010802)". Lineage: Eukaryota; Viridiplantae; Streptophyta; Magnoliopsida; Zingiberales; Musaceae. The record is from RNAcentral.
CAGCUAUGGUAGGGAAAGAGUAAGAGGAAGGAAGAAGGGAAGGAGAGGAAGAAGAGAAGGGAAAGAAGGGGCUGCGGCUGCGGCGAUGACAGCUGCAGUUGGAAGAGAAGAAGGAGAGGAAGAUGAGCCGGGGAGGAAGAAGAGGCUGUGGCUGUGGCUGAGGCUGCGACUGCAGCAGUGCAGCUGGGAAAGAAGAGAAGGAAAGGAAGAAGAAGAGAAAGGAAAAGGGAAGAAGAGAGGAAGAGGAGAAGGGGAGGCAGCUGUGGCAGUGGCAGUGGCAGGUGCAGCUGGAAGAGAAGGAGAGGAAAUAGAGCAGGGGAGGAAGAAGAGGCUGCGGCUGUGGUGGCUGCGGCCAUGGCUGCGACUGCGACUGCGGCAGUUGCAGCUGGGAAAGAAAAGAAAGGAAAGAGGAAAAAGGGGCUGCGGACGGGAUUGCGGCCGCAGUGGCAGCGACUGCGUAUGCAGUAGUUAUGUCUGCGAGAGAAGGGAGCAAGGAAGUAGUACAGUGGAAGGGGCUGCGGUUGUGACUGUAGCUGCGGUUGUGACAGCAGUUGCGGUCUUGACUACGACUGUGGUAGUGGCCCGCGAUGGCUGCGACAACUGUGUUUGAAAAAGAAAACGAAGGAAUGAGAGUAAGAGAGAGCAAGUGGCUAUGCCUCUAUGUUCUGCAUGAGCUGCAAUUGUGGAGGAAAAAGAAAAGACAUGUAGAAAACGAAACAGAGAGAGAGGACACGGAGGAAAAGUAGAAGGAUUUGGGCUGGCACACUCUUUAGAUCUUCGUAUCGAAAUCUUUGAAAGGCAAGUUUCCUGAUCGUUUCUCCUGUAAUUGUUCUAAUCUUUCCUAUUGCAAGUUUCCCAAUCGUUUCUCCUGUUAUUGUUCUAAUCUUUCAUAUUGCAAGUUUCCUGAUCGUUUCUCCUUUAAUUGUUCUAAUCUUUCCUAUUGCAAGUUUCCUGAUCGUUUCUCCUGUAAUUGUUCUAAUCUUUCCUAUUGCAAGUAUCCUGAUCUUUUCUCACUGCAAUUUUAUCUCUACAUUUGCUUUGAAUAUGAGAAAAUUUGAAUUGUUCUAGCCUUGCACUUGAUAUAUCUUCUGUUUGGAUGUAACGAUUCGAAACUGUGCAACUUCCAAGAUUCUGACCUUUCUACCUUGUUAUGAUUAUAACUUCAUGUAUUGACAUCUGAUUUGGACAAAACUUAUUUGAUCAGAAUAUAGACUCAUAAACCAUUGUUUUGAUAGCUUAUUUUAAGAAUUCGGAAUAAGUUUGUCUGCCCAAACUUCUAUUUCAAAUGAGCCUACAGAUUCUACAAAACAGGGAUCGUAAUUUAGGACCUUUUGAUACUUAACUGCUUAUAAGUCCCCGUUGCAAACAUUUAUUUAUUGAAAGAUUAUUUCAUUGGAAACUAGACUCAUAGAUCUUUCUUUUGAUAUUUGGAUUGAAAGAUUUGGAAUCCAAACACCUGCCCAGUUAUCUGCUGAAUCUGACAUUAUGAAUUCUGCCAAACAGCGAUUUUGUUCUACGACCCUUGUUUACCAAAUUAUAUGUAACUCUGUCUAUUGGAUAGUUCAAUUCAUAUGAAGCCUGUCUUAUCUGAAAGUAUAAUCCAAUGAUAUAUUUCUGAGUAAAUUGGAGCACGAUUGAUAGUUUGAAUAAUUUGUUUAAUGUGCCUCUUGUAUUCUGCCAGAAAUCGAGCUUUGGUCGAUUUCAAAUAUUCUGGUUUCAUUCCUUUGAAAAUUGAUAUCCUUUAGCUUUCUUAUUUAAUUGAGCUUUGUAUUACUGCUUUGAAUACUUGUAUGCUCUUGUCCUUAAAGUUAUUUGCAUUCUUGAAAACUAUUGUGUAACGUUUAUGCUAUAUCAUAUUGACUCAUUUAGGCACAUGUGUAUCCCAUUGUUCCGCAUUUGCUUUCGAUAUGUGCCUAUUCCAUUUCCUUUCAAAAUCCGAAUACCAUUGUGAAAGAUUAUUGCUUGCAUCGUAUUGUCUCGGAAAGACACAUGUACGUUUUGUUGUUCCGCGUGUGCUUCCGAUAUAUGCUACUUAUUGAUAAAACUGCCCUCUUGUACUCUAGUGUUUGUGGGAUUGUCUAGACCUUUGCCAGAAAUGGUAAAGGGUAUGUGUUUAGAGCCUGCGAUGCUCUGCCGGCCCCCUUUGACUUCACCUAGACGUGAGUGGAUGUAGCUCCCAAACGUCGGAGACUUCUGUCUGGUGGUCAUUCAGAAAUGGAUGAAUCACAAUUCUGUUUGAGAUCCCACUACACCUUCUAUAUGUUUGAUAUGAUAUCCAGAGCUUUGGUUAUGUGUUUCGGUACAAGCUUUGGAUAAAAAUGAUAUGAUUGUAACGUCNNNNNNNNNNNNNNNNNNNNGCUUCGAAAUGUACCAUUUGCCAUUGAUAUGCUCCGGAACAUCUCGUACGCUAUUGAUAUGCUCCAAUUACUUUGUGCUCCAUUUGUUAUGAAUCAAAUAUGUUUUGAAUGAUAUGAUACAUAUGAUUUUGUAUCUAAUGAGAUGGUAUCCUUGAGAAUUCUUGUAUUCUGCCUUGCAUUAUGAUACCUUACUUGUUUGAAACCAUUCCUUUUGUUUUGAAUAUGCUUUGUCACUUGCUGAGCUAUUUUUAGCUCACUCCGUUGUUAUAUAAAUCUUUCAGGUCAGCUUGUCACCCUUUGAGAUGUUUGAUUUGGGCUGAGGCAGUGGAUAGCUAUACAGAAUUAUGGGCAAGUCUUGUUGGUUGUUAUGUUAUUGUUGUAUAAGCAUAUUUUGUAUGUAAUGAAAUGUUGUUGAUGAAUCGAAAUGGAUAUACUGUGUAAAAGUGUUAGAAGAUCUCUCUUAUUUGGAAUUUCGAAAUGUUAAGUCUAAUUUAUGAUGAUAUGAACUUGUGGUGAAUAGUUGGAGUUCUGAUUGUAUAAUUUAUUUAGCUUGUGGAUUUAUAAAUGUUGUUCAUGUUUGUCAAGUUGGCUUGGGUUGCCAUAAAUGUGAAUUAUCGAGUGAUGUGAUAUAUGAUUAUAAACUGCGCAGGUUUUAUAGAUGUGAAUUUGAUAGAAUGUU